AUCCCUUUUUUCAGAGGUUUCUUGGACCUCAAAGGAUUAGCAGUAAAGAGAUAAACCUGAGGAUUUUUUAAUUGUUAUUAUUUUUAUAUCAGUUUAUAUCAAAGCCAUAGUGUUUCGUCCUUUAAAUUACUGUGAUUUGUUAAACUCUGCUUUCCGCGUUUUUUGAUUUUUCUGUCACAGAACCUAAAUUGGUAAUAAAUCAGUAAGAAACAAGUGUUUACAUUCACUCAAUGAAAAGGAUCGUGUGCAGGCUCCCCGCGGAUCGGAACUGCACGUGGACAGCUCUCCCCACUCCACUGUGAGGAAAAAUGAACAAAUCCCAGACCAACCAUCAGCAGUCGAUGAUGGAACAUAAGGGAAAGAAAACAUCAUGUACCACUCCCUGAUUGAUUUUAGAUUGGGAGAAUUUCGCAUAAAAGGCACAAAUGCAAGAUUGACUGAAGCAGAACUGCAA
Molecule: long non-coding RNA, 454 nt
Organism: Lepus europaeus (European hare)
Lineage: Eukaryota; Metazoa; Chordata; Mammalia; Lagomorpha; Leporidae
Exons: 3
Source: RefSeq, a predicted model, not a curated record